RNAcentral lists this transfer-messenger RNA (349 nucleotides) under Methylococcus sp. It matches the Rfam family "transfer-messenger RNA". From Rfam's summary of the family: Bacterial tmRNA, also known as 10Sa RNA or SsrA, is named for its dual tRNA and mRNA-like properties. Its role is to liberate the mRNA from a stalled ribosome. Lineage: Bacteria; Pseudomonadati; Pseudomonadota; Gammaproteobacteria; Methylococcales; Methylococcaceae. The record is from RNAcentral.
GGGGGCGACCUGGCUUCGACGUGGGUAGCGAAACCCGAGGUGCAUGCCGAGCUGCAAUCAACUCGUGAAACUGACUGCAAAACUUUAGUUGCCAACGACGACAACUACGCACUAGCAGCUUAAACACCUGCAUAGCGCCUUCCGCCCGGUUCGUGCCCAUACGUCCGGAUCACGGGAGUCACCCGAUAUGGGAUCGCGAUGAAGCGCGCCUGGCGCGGAUUCGUUAAAACCUUACAGGCUCGUUACAGGUCUUCCCUGCCCCUCGGGUAGCCUGCAAUUAAAUCAAUAGACGGGAUAAGCAUGUAGAGCCAAAGGCGGAGUGCUUGCGGACGCGGGUUCGAUUAACGCA